UUGAAGGGAUAAAUGUGAAGCCACAACAUAUAUAAAUGUAGAGAAUUAAAGUAGAGGGCAAGGUGGCGAUCUAGCAUCUGGCAGCCAGCCACCACCUCCAACAAAGAUAGAAGGAGAAAAGGAAGGAGGUAGAGAGAGGUAUGACAAUGUUAGUGGGGUCAUGGCAUUGAGACAGGGGAGAGGAAUUAAGGAGAUUUUGAUGGUCCAAAU
Molecule: long non-coding RNA, 210 nt
Filed under: Elaeis guineensis (African oil palm)
Lineage: Eukaryota; Viridiplantae; Streptophyta; Magnoliopsida; Arecales; Arecaceae
Description: long non-coding RNA (EGUI_LNC056885)
Source: RNAcentral